ACGAGUUAGGGUCUUCUAGGCCCGACCUCCCAACCCUGUGUUUAAUCGACCUGAUGUUGCUUCGGCGAGCCCGUCUCACAAGGACCGCCGGAGGACCGUAACACGUCCUCUGGUCCGCGCUCGCCGGUGGCCAACCACAAAUUCUUCAUUAAAUGUAUCAUCUAAGUCAAAAUUUUAAUUAAAGCA
This 186-nucleotide unclassified non-coding RNA is filed under the name uncultured Exophiala. RNAcentral's name for it is "sequence contains ITS1". The record is from RNAcentral. Lineage: Eukaryota; Fungi; Ascomycota; Eurotiomycetes; Chaetothyriales; Herpotrichiellaceae.